AUGGCUCUGCCUUGUACGUGGAACGUAGUGUAUAUUUGAGCCAACACUACUACAUAGGGAGAUCUUCUCUCACCUGUGGCGCGAAAGCCUCCUAGAUUGGGGACUCGUAAAGCAGGUAGGCGAUCACCCACCUGCGGAGAGCGGGCUUCAAUAUGUAUUUCGUGAAACGGCAAGGCGGGGCUUUU
RNAcentral lists this non-coding RNA (185 nucleotides) under Bacillota bacterium. RNAcentral describes it as "6S RNA". It matches the Rfam family "6S / SsrS RNA". Rfam says of the family: E. coli 6S RNA was the first non coding RNA to be sequenced, but its function was unknown until recently. It consists of 184 nucleotides that fold into an extended hairpin structure with a large single-stranded internal bulge. The record is from RNAcentral. Lineage: Bacteria; Bacillati; Bacillota.